GACGUAGGGGCCAAGCGUUGUCCGGAGUUACUGGGCGUAAAGGGCGCGCAGGCGGUGUGUCGCGUCGGAUGUGAAAGCCCCCCGCUCAACGGGGGAGGGUCAUUUGAAACGGGCACACUGGAGGCAGGGAGAGGCCGGUGGAAUUCCCGGUGUAGUGGUGAAAUGCGUAGAUAUCGGGAGGAACACCAGUGGCGAAGGCGGCCGGCUGGACCUGACCUGACGCUGAGGCGCGAAGGCGUGGGGAGCGAACGGG
This 253-nucleotide unclassified non-coding RNA is filed under the name uncultured Thermomicrobiales bacterium. Its description in RNAcentral is "contains 16S-23S intergenic spacer region". It matches the Rfam family "Bacterial small subunit ribosomal RNA", at positions 524 to 776 of the family's 1533-position model. Lineage: Bacteria; Pseudomonadati; Thermomicrobiota; Thermomicrobia; Thermomicrobiales. The record is from RNAcentral.